RNAcentral lists this ribosomal RNA (253 nucleotides) under uncultured bacterium. RNAcentral describes it as "partial 16S ribosomal RNA". It matches the Rfam family "Bacterial small subunit ribosomal RNA", at positions 524 to 776 of the family's 1533-position model. The record is from RNAcentral.
UACGAGUGGUGCAAGCGUUAUUCGGAUUUAUUGGGUGUAAAGGGUGUGUAGACGAUUUAUUAAGUCACCUGUUUAAUUCUCCGGCUUAACCGGAGGCCAGCGGGCGAAACUGAUAGAUUUGAGGAUGGAAGAGAGAAGUGGAAUUCUUGGAGUAGCGGUAAAAUGCGUAGAUCUCAAGAGGAACACCAAUGGCGAAGGCAGCUUCUUGGUCCAUACCUGACGUUGAAACACGAAAGCGUGGGGAGCAAACAGG